GAGACGUUUCUCUGAGCUGCAGUUCCUCUGAGCUCCACAAGGUUGUGAUCUUCACAGCUACCCAGACAGGAAGCCUCUAUGGAAGACAGGAAGUGAUGUCAGGCAUCGGCAGGAAGGCUCUAUGGAAAAAAGGGACAAGAGUGACGUCAGGCACAGAGAGAAAGUAGAGAAGAGACGUUGCUGGAACCUGCAGCAGAGGAGGAAACCUGCAUAGAUCACAUGACCAAUGAGGAUGGAGGAGGACCGAAGUCACGUGACUGAGAAGAUAUUAAAACUCACCCUGGAGAUCAUCUACCUGCUGACCGGAGAGAGAUUUCCUCUUGUGAAGUCAGGUGAUCAUAUGACCAUC
This is a long non-coding RNA of Rana temporaria (common frog), 349 nucleotides long. RefSeq lists it as uncharacterized. The transcript has 3 exons. NCBI's taxonomy places the organism in Eukaryota, Metazoa, Chordata, Amphibia, Anura, Ranidae. The record is from RefSeq and is a predicted model, not a curated record.